CUGACUACUUACCCAUUUGCA
This 21-nucleotide non-coding RNA is filed under the name Arabidopsis thaliana (thale cress). The record is from RNAcentral. Lineage: Eukaryota; Viridiplantae; Streptophyta; Magnoliopsida; Brassicales; Brassicaceae.